RNAcentral lists this ribosomal RNA (468 nucleotides) under uncultured bacterium. Its description in RNAcentral is "partial 16S ribosomal RNA". It matches the Rfam family "Bacterial small subunit ribosomal RNA", at positions 28 to 507 of the family's 1533-position model. The record is from RNAcentral.
GACGAACGCUGGCGGCGUGCUUAACACAUGCAAGUCGAACGGAAAGGCCCUGCUUUUGUGGGGUGCUCGAUUGGCGAACGGGUGAGUAACACGUGAGUAACCUGCCCUUGACUUUGGGAUAACUUCAGGAAACUGGGGCUAAUACCGGAUAGGAGCUCCUGCUGCAUGGUGGGGGUUGGAAAGUUUCGGCGGUUGGGGAUGGACUCGCGGCUUAUCAGCUUGUUGGUGGGGUAGUGGCUUACCAAGGCUUUGACGGGUAGCCGGCCUGGGAGGGUGACCGGCCACAUUGGGCCUGAGAUACGGCCCAGACUCCUACGGGAGGCAGCAGUGGGGAAUAUUGCACAAUGGGCGGAAGCCUGAUGCAGCAACGCCGCGUGCGGGAUGACGGCCUUCGGGUUGUAAACCGCUUUCGCCUGUGACGAAGCGUGAGUGACGGUAAUGGGUAAAGAAGCACCGGCUAACUACGUG